RNAcentral lists this long non-coding RNA (475 nucleotides) under Homo sapiens (human). Its description in RNAcentral is "HSALNT0274381". Lineage: Eukaryota; Metazoa; Chordata; Mammalia; Primates; Hominidae. The record is from RNAcentral.
GAAUAGAGUUCCGGGAACCCUGUCUUCCUUCCGGUGGUGGCUGAGGGCUCGUGCUCGAGGCUGAGGGAUGCUGGUGACUCCCGGGGUCCCCAGCCCCGCCCCCAUCGGACGCCUCCACAGGCGGCGCACCCUUUCCGCCAUCCGCAGAGCAAGGCUGCCUCGGGGCGGCUCAGUCCGGCGCUUCUUACCUUACCUCCGUCUCAUCCUUAACUCACCACGAGCGUCCAGGGUCCACAUCCUCCUAAAUGGCCACUCGUCUUAAUCUCGGCGUCAGGACCCACGCGGGGUCAGGACUACCCCUCCGCUUCCAUGACUGUCUCCUCGCGGCUCCGGCUCCCACGGAGCGACCCCUCCGGGUUUUACUGACCCCGGGAUGUUGUAUCCUGGAAACUGCAGUUCCACCCAGGGGCUUGAUCUGGGUUUUUGAAAUAAUGUGAAUGGUUACUGCUGGCGGAUGUUCACAGGGACACACCGG